AUGGUGAAGCUUGCAAAGGCAGAUACAAAUCAAAGUGACCCCAAGAAAAUGGCUCCUCACUUGAUGGAGGUAGAAGAAGACAGUGAAAAUGAGGAAAUGUCAGAAGAUGAGGAUGAUGACAGCGGUGAGGAAGAGGUUAUCGUCCCUCAGAUAAAGGCAAGAAGGCUGCUGCAACCCCAGCAAAGAAAGUGGUGGUUUCUCCAACAAAAAAGGUUGCAGUUGUCACACCUGCCAAGAAAGCAGCUGUCAUCCCCGGCAAAAAGGCAGCAGCCCCACAGGCCAAGAAGAUGGUUACUCCAGCCAAGGCAGUAACAACACCUGGCGAAAAGGGAGGCACACCAAGCAAAGCAUUGGUAGCAACCCCUGGUAAAAAGGGAGCUGCCACUCCAGCCAAGGGGGCAAAGAACGGCAAGAAUGCCAAGAAGGAAGACAGUGAUGAGGAGGAGGAGGAGGAAGAUGCGAGGAAGAAGAGGAUGGAUUUGAACCAGCAGUGAUGAAAGCAGCAGCAGCUUCUCCUGCCUCGGAGGACGAAGAUGAUGGUGAUGAUGAAGAUGAGGAGGAGGAGGAGGAGGAGGAGGAGGAGGACUCUGAAGAAGAAGCUAUGGAGACCAUACCAGCCAAAGGAAAGAAAGCUCCUGCAAAAGUUGUUCCUGUGAAAGCUAAGAGUGUGGCUGAGGAGGAGGAGGAGGAAGAUGACGAAGAUGACAAUGAGGACGAAGAUGAGGAUGAUGAGGAUGGUGAUGAUGAGGAGGAGGAAGAGGAGGAAGAGCCUGUCAAAGAAGCCCCUGGAAAAUGAAAGAAGGAAAUGAUGAAACAGAAAGCAGAUCCUGAAGCCAAGAAACAGAAAGUGGAAGGAACAGAACCAGCUACAUCUUUCAAUCUGUUUAUUGGAAACCUGAAGUCUAACAAAUCUGCUCCAGAAUUAAAAACUGGUAUCAGUGAUGUUUUUGCUAAAAAUGAUCUUGCUGUUGCGGAUGUCAAGGUUGGUAUGACUAGAAAGUUUGGCUAUGUGGAUUUUGAAUCUGCUGAAGACCUGGAAAAAGCCUUGGAGCUCACAGGUUUGAAAGUCUUUGGCAAUGAAAUUAAAGUAGAGAAACCAAAAGGGAAAGACAGUAAGAAAGAUCGGGAUGCCAGAACACUUUUGGCCAAAAAUCUUCCUUAUAAAGUCACUCAGGAUGAAUUAAAAGAAGGGUUUGAAGAUGCUAUGGAUAUCAGAAUAGUCAGCAAAGAUGAGAAGAGUAAAGGGAUUGCUUAUACUGAAUUUAAGACAGAAGCUGAUGCAGAGAAAACAUUUGAAGAAAAGCAGAGAACAGAGAUUGAUGGGCCAUCCAUUUCCCUGUACUACAAUGGGGAUAAAGGUCAAAGUCAAGACUAUAGGGGUAGAAAGAAUAGCACUUGGAGUGGUGAAUCAAAAACUCUGGUUUUAAGCAACCUGUCUUACAGUGCAACAGUAGAAACUCUUCAGGAAGUGUUUGAGAAGGCAACUUUUAUCAAAGUGCCCCAGAACCAAAAUGGCAAUUUUAAAGGGUGUGCAUUUAUAGAAUUUGCUUCAUUUGAAGAUGCUAAAGAAGCUUUAAAUUCCUGUAACAAAAAGGAGAUUGAGGGCAGAGCAAUCUGGCUGGAUAACAAGCACCCAGAGGAUCACCUAAUGCCAGAAGCCAGCCAUCCUGAGGAUACCACUGAAGAGACAUUGAAGGAGUUAUUUGACGGCUCUGUUCGUGCAUGGAUAGUCACUGACAGGGAAACAGGGUCCUCCAAAGGGUUUGGGUUUGUAGACUUCAACAGUGUGGAAGAUGCCAGAGCCACAAAGGAGGCCGUGGAAGAUGGUGAAAUUCAUGGGAACAAAGUUACCUUGGACUGGGCCAAGCCUAAGGGCAAAGGUGGCUUUGGGGGUUGUGGUGGAGGCAGAGGAGGCUGAGGCAGAUUUGGUGGCAGAAGCUGGGGAGGCUUUGCAGGCUGAGGAGGCUUCCGAGGUGGAAGAGGAGGAGGAGACCACAAGCCACAAGGAAAGAAGACAAAGUUUGAAUAG
Otolemur garnettii (small-eared galago) is the source of this 2029-nucleotide RNA transcript. It is a transcript of the gene named nucleolin pseudogene, with no coding region annotated. The transcript has a single exon. Lineage: Eukaryota; Metazoa; Chordata; Mammalia; Primates; Galagidae. The record is from RefSeq and is a predicted model, not a curated record.